This 83-nucleotide transfer RNA is filed under the name Candidatus Taylorbacteria bacterium RIFCSPHIGHO2_01_FULL_51_15. RNAcentral's name for it is "tRNA-Tyr". It matches the Rfam family "tRNA". Rfam says of the family: Transfer RNA (tRNA) molecules are approximately 80 nucleotides in length. Their secondary structure includes four short double-helical elements and three loops (D, anti-codon, and T loops). Lineage: Bacteria; Candidatus Tayloriibacteriota. The record is from RNAcentral.
GCGCCGGUCGUAUAGUGGCAAUUACAUGAGACUGUAAAUCUCACGGCCUUUGGCCUUCGGUGGUUCGAGUCCACCCCGGCGCA